GUGAUCAAACCGUAUCAGCUGUCAAAGAAAUACCCAAACUUGAUUCACAUAGAACCGGCAUCACUCUGCCGACCAAACUGGAAAGAGCUAGCCUUCCUCUUUGGCGGCAGGAAAUGGAACUGGCAGGAAAAUAACUUUGUGGUUCACCUUUACAUGAGAUAUGGUCCAAAGGGAAACAGAGAAAGGAACCGAGAAAAUAUAAAGACGUGGAACACAACAGUUGCGAGCAUAAUGAGAAAAUUCAACUUCUUUAUAACAAGGAGCACAGCAAGUAUCUUCUUAGGCCUUCUUCAUGCUGAUAUACCCUGGUUCACGACUAUGUCUUCACUAGGCGCUCAUGAAAAUCAGGAAGUAUCUUUAAUACCAGCGGGGGGUAUAAGUACACCUCAUGAAGGAGAAGAAUGAAGGAGGAGUAUAUAUACUCCAGAUGUUUGUGUUCCCUGUAGUAUAGAAGGUAACAUCCAUAAUGUCCCAUGUUAUGUGUAUCAGAUCUAAAUAUAUCAUUCAAAGACUCGUCAUUGUUGUCAUUCACAAUCAAAGUUUGUUUUGUUUGUAUAUUUAGUUUUACGCCGCACUCAGCAAUAUUCCAGCUAUAUG
Molecule: long non-coding RNA, 597 nt
Organism: Haliotis rubra (blacklip abalone)
Lineage: Eukaryota; Metazoa; Mollusca; Gastropoda; Lepetellida; Haliotidae
Exons: 3
Source: RefSeq, a predicted model, not a curated record